UUGUAAAAAAUUUAUCCAUUUCUAUUAUUAAAAUUAUUGUGAUUAACAGAAUAACUAAAUAAUUACAUGUGGUGUGUCACACGUACCUGAUUUUGACGUACAUGAAUCAAUUUUUAAUAGUAGAAAUACGUGAAAUUUUUAAUA
Molecule: non-coding RNA, 144 nt
Organism: Gossypium raimondii (Peruvian cotton)
Lineage: Eukaryota; Viridiplantae; Streptophyta; Magnoliopsida; Malvales; Malvaceae
Source: Rfam